Molecule: non-coding RNA, 125 nt
Organism: Labrus bergylta (ballan wrasse)
Lineage: Eukaryota; Metazoa; Chordata; Actinopteri; Labriformes; Labridae
Source: RefSeq, a predicted model, not a curated record
CUUGAGAACACACCAAUCCAACAACCAGAUUUACACACAUUUUUACAAUGACUUUAUCCGGGUGUUUAACGUUUCUCAUGCUAUCAGUUUCUGUGGUGCGCAGUCAGACUCUGACUGAGUCUGAA